AGUGAACGCUGGCGGUAGGCCUAACACAUGCAAGUCGAACGGCAGCACAGUAAGAGCUUGCUCUUACGGGUGGCGAGUGGCGGACGGGUGCGGAAUACAUCGGAAUCUACUUUUUCGUGGGGGAUAACGUAGGGAAACUUACGCUAAUACCGCAUACGACCUACGGGUGAAAGCAUGGGAUCUUCGGACCUUGCGCGAUUGAAUGAGCCGAUGUCGGAUUAGCUAGUUGGCGGGGUAAAGGCCCACCAAGGCGACGAUCCGUAGCUGGUCUGAGAGGAUGAUCAGACACACUGGAACUGAGACACGGUCCAGACUCCUACGGGAGGCACCAGUGGGGAAUAUUGGACAAUGGGCGCAAGCCUGAUCCAGCCAUACCGCGUGGGUGAAGAAGGCCUUCGGGUUGUAAAGCCCUUUUGUUGGGAAAGAAAAGCAGCAGGUUAAUACCCCGCUGUUCUGACGGUACCAAAAGAAUAAGCACCGGCUAACUUCGUG
RNAcentral lists this ribosomal RNA (492 nucleotides) under uncultured bacterium. Its description in RNAcentral is "partial 16S ribosomal RNA". It matches the Rfam family "Bacterial small subunit ribosomal RNA", at positions 29 to 507 of the family's 1533-position model. The record is from RNAcentral.